Molecule: ribosomal RNA, 253 nt
Filed under: uncultured bacterium
Lineage: Bacteria
Description: partial 16S ribosomal RNA
Rfam family: Bacterial small subunit ribosomal RNA
Source: RNAcentral
GACAGAGGGUGCAAACGUUGUUCGGAAUUACUGGGCGUAAAGCGUGCGUAGGCGGUUUGUUAAGUCUGUCGUGAAAGCCCCGGGCUCAACCUGGGAAUGGCGAUGGAAACUGGCGAGCUAGAGUACGGUAGAGGAGAGUGGAAUUCCUGGUGUAGCGGUGGAAUGCGCAGAUAUCAGGAGGAACACCAAUAGCGAAGGCAGCUCGCUGGGACGUUACUGACACUGAGGCGCGAAAGCGUGGGGAGCGAACAGG